CGAGUGGCUAAUACCGCAUGUGUCCGUCUUGUCGCAUGGCGAGACGGGCAAAGGUGGGGACCCUUCGGGGCCUGCCGCUCGAGGAGGAGCCCGCGUCCCAUUAGCUUGUUGGCGGGGUAACGGCCCACCAAGGCGACGAUGGGUAGCCGAUCUGAGAGGAUGACCGGCCACACUGGGACUGAGAUACGGCCCAGACUCCUACGGGAGGCAGCAGUCGAGAGGCUUCGGCAAUGGGGGAAACCCUGACCGAGCGACGCCGCGUGCGGGAUGAAGGCUUUCGGGUUGUAAACCGCUGUCAGGAGGGAAGAAUCCCCUCGGGUCAAUACCCCGAGGGUUGACGGUACCUCCAAAGGAAGCUCCGGCUAACUCCGUGCCAGCAGCCGCGGUAAUACGGGGGGAGCAAACGUUGUUCGGAUUCACUGGGCGUAAAGGGCGUGUAGGCGGUCUGGUAAGUCAGGGGUGAAAUCCCGCGGCUCAACCGUGGAGUUGCCCUUGAAACUGCCGGACUUGAGGCCGUGAGAGGAGACUGGAAUUCCCAGUGUAGCGGUGAAAUGCAUAGAUAUUGGGAAGAACACCAGUGGCGAAGGCGAGUCUCUGGCACGGUUCUGACGCUGAGGCGCGAAAGCUAGGGGAGCAAACGGGAUUAGAUACCCCGGUAGUCCUAGCCGUAAACGAUGGACACUAAGUGUCGGCCGAUCGACCCGGUCGGCGCUGAAGCUAACGCGUUAAGUGUCCCGCCUGGGGAGCACGGCCGCAAGGUUGAAACUCAAAGGAAUUGACGGGGGCCCGCACAAGCGGUGGAGCAUGUGGUUUAAUUCGACGCAACGCGAAGGACCUUACCCAGGCUUGACAUCCUCGGGACAGCCCCAGAGAUGGGGUCUUCCUUCGGGAUCCGAGGACAGGUGCUGCAUGGCUGUCGUCAGCUCGUGUCGUGAGAUGUUGGGUUAAGUCCCGCAACGAGCGCAACCCUUACCCUUAGUUGCCAGCGGUUCGGCCGGGCCCUCUAAGGGGACUGCCCCGGAAAACGGAGAGGAAGGUGGGGAUGACGUCAAGUCCUCAUGGCCCUUACGCCUGGGGCUACACACGUGCUACAAUGGUCGGUACAAAGGGUUGCAAUGCCGCGAGGUGGAGCCAAUCCCAAAAAGCCGGCCUCAGUUCGGAUUGGAGUCUGCAACUCGACUCCAUGAAGUUGGAAUCGCUAGUAAUCGCGGAUCAGCACGCCGCGGUGAAUACGUUCCCGGGCCUUGUACACACCGCCCGUCAAGUCAGCCGAGUUGAGUGCUCCCUAAGAGCUUGAUCCGACCCGAAAGGGAGGAAGGGCUCCAAGGAGUGCUUAGUGAGGGGGACUAAGUCGUAACAAGGUA
This 1364-nucleotide ribosomal RNA is filed under the name metagenome. Its description in RNAcentral is "bacterial SSU rRNA". It matches the Rfam family "Bacterial small subunit ribosomal RNA", at positions 156 to 1498 of the family's 1533-position model. The record is from RNAcentral.